UGGGGAAUCAUGGUCAAUGGGCGCAAGCCUGAUCCAGCCAUGCCGCGUGAGUGAUGAAGGCCCUAGGGUUGUAAAGCUCUUUUGGCGGGGAAGAUAAUGACGGUACCCGCAGAAUAAGCCCCGGCUAACUUCGUGCCAGCAGCCGCGGUAAUACGAAGGGGGCUAGCGUUGCUCGGAAUCACUGGGCGUAAAGCGCACGUAGGCGGAUUCUUAAGUCAGAGGUGAAAGCCUGGAGCUCAACUCCAGAACUGCCUUUGAUACUGGCGAUCUCGAGUCCGGGAGAGGUGAGUGGAACUGCUAGUGUAGAGGUGAAAUUCGUAGAUAUUCGCAAGAACACCAGUGGCGAAGGCGGCUUUCUGGACUGUAACUGACACUGAGGCACGAAAGCGUGGGGAGCAAACA
This 402-nucleotide ribosomal RNA is filed under the name uncultured prokaryote. RNAcentral describes it as "bacterial SSU rRNA". It matches the Rfam family "Bacterial small subunit ribosomal RNA", at positions 355 to 774 of the family's 1533-position model. The record is from RNAcentral.